UACGUAGGGUGCGAGCGUUAAUCGGAAUUACUGGGCGUAAAGCGUGCGCAGGCGGUUUUGUAAGACAGAGGUGAAAUCCCCGGGCUUAACCUGGGAACUGCCUUUGUGACUGCAAGGCUUGAGUGCGGCAGAGGGGGAUGGAAUUCCGCGUGUAGCAGUGAAAUGCGUAGAUAUGCGGAGGAACACCGAUGGCGAAGGCGAUCCCCUGGGCCUGCACUGACGCUCAUGCACGAAAGCGUGGGGAGCAAACAGG
This 253-nucleotide ribosomal RNA is filed under the name uncultured bacterium. RNAcentral describes it as "partial 16S ribosomal RNA". It matches the Rfam family "Bacterial small subunit ribosomal RNA", at positions 524 to 776 of the family's 1533-position model. The record is from RNAcentral.